UUUUGACCUAAAUGUCCAUGAAAAUAAAGUAGUGUUAAAGUUUAGAAAUUACAUGAAAAAUUAAAGUUGGAAUGAAAUAUAAUAAACGAGAAUUAUGGGGUAUAAUGUGAAUAAUUAAAAGUUUAACAUUACCUUAUUAUUUAAUUGAGUUAGUGGACCAUUAUGCACCAUAUAAAAGCCAAAAGUGGACAGAAUUUUCCACUAUCUUCAUUCAUCUUCUUCACCUCUCAAGUUGCAGAAUUUAAAUUCCUCUCAAAUCUCCAUUGAAACACCUUCAUGCAAGCUUUAAUCUCACUCAAUCUCACCAUGAUUUCCACUAAUCCUUUCACAAGAAAUUGUCCACACAUCAUGGGAAAGCUAUAGCCAGCAAGAAAAGGAGCUUUGGUGAAGGUUGAGAAGUGGUCAACUAAAGUUAGCAAAGACUCAGGGAAGGGGAAGGAAACACUGAGUCAGAGCCAAGAAACAGUUAUCAGAGGU
Molecule: long non-coding RNA, 477 nt
Organism: Hevea brasiliensis (rubber tree)
Lineage: Eukaryota; Viridiplantae; Streptophyta; Magnoliopsida; Malpighiales; Euphorbiaceae
Exons: 2
Source: RefSeq, a predicted model, not a curated record